AGUCAAGUAAUUAAGUGCAUGUGGUGGAUGCCUUGGCAGUCAGAGGCGAUGAAAGACGUGAUAGCCUGCGAAAAGCUCCGGGGAGGCGGCAAAUAUCCUUUGAUCCGGAGAUGUCUGAAUGGGGGAACCCACCUACUUUAAGGUAGGUAUUGCAACAUGAAUACAUAGUGUUGCAAGGCGAACGAGGGGAAGUGAAACAUCUCAGUACCCUUAGGAAAAGAAAUCAAUUGAGAUUCCCUCAGUAGCGGCGAGCGAACGGGGAUCAGCCCAUUAAGUUAUGUGUGUUUUAGUGGAACGCUCUGGGAAGUGCGAACGUAGAGGGUGAUAUUCCCGUACACGAAAGGGCACACAUAAUGAUGACGAGUAGGGCGAGGCACGUGAAACCUUGUCUGAAUAUGGGGGGACCAUCCUCCAAGGCUAAAUACUCCUGACUGACCGAUAGUGAACCAGUACCGUGAGGGAAA
Molecule: ribosomal RNA, 464 nt
Filed under: Acinetobacter baumannii
Lineage: Bacteria; Pseudomonadati; Pseudomonadota; Gammaproteobacteria; Moraxellales; Moraxellaceae
Description: partial 23S ribosomal RNA
Rfam family: Bacterial large subunit ribosomal RNA
Source: RNAcentral